CCUACGGGAGGCAGCAGUGGGGAAUAUUGCGCAAUGGGCGAAAGCCUGACGCAGCGACGCAGCGUGAGGGACGAAGGCCUUCGGGUUGUAAACCUCUUUCAGCGGGGACGAAGCGAAAGUGACGGUACCCGCAGAAGAAGCACCGGCUAACUACGUGCCAGCAGCCGCGGUAAUACGUAGGGUGCAAGCAUUGUCCGGAUUUAUUGGGCGUAAAGAGCUCGUAGGCGGCUUGUCACGUCGGAUGUGAAAACUCGGGGCUCAACCCCGAGCCUGCAUUCGAUACGGGCUAGCUAGAGUGUUGCAGGGGAGACUGGAAUUCCUGGUGUAGCGGUGAAAUGCGCAGAUAUCAGGAGGAACACCGGUGGCGAAGGCGGGUCUCUGGGCAACUACUGACGCUGAGGAGCGAAAGCGUGGGGAGCGAACAGGAUUAGAUACCCUGGUAGUCCACGCCGUAAACGGUGGGCGCUAGGUGUGGGGAACCUUCCACGUUCUCUGUGCCGUAGCUAACGCAUUAAGCGCCCCGCCUGGGGAGUACGGCCGCAAGGCUAAAACUUAAAGGAAUUGACGGCNGAGACGUGCCGACGACGACGACGAGGGAGUAGG
Molecule: ribosomal RNA, 603 nt
Filed under: uncultured bacterium
Lineage: Bacteria
Description: bacterial SSU rRNA
Rfam family: Bacterial small subunit ribosomal RNA
Source: RNAcentral